RNAcentral lists this transfer RNA (73 nucleotides) under Loxodonta africana (African savanna elephant). It matches the Rfam family "tRNA". From Rfam's summary of the family: Transfer RNA (tRNA) molecules are approximately 80 nucleotides in length. The record is from Rfam by way of RNAcentral. Lineage: Eukaryota; Metazoa; Chordata; Mammalia; Proboscidea; Elephantidae.
AGCCUGGUGGCGCAGUGGUUAAAGCACUAGACUGCUAACCAAAAGGUUGGUGGUUCAAAACCACCUUCGGCUC